This 23202-nucleotide long non-coding RNA is filed under the name Marmota monax (woodchuck). The stretch from base 2326 to 2394 matches the Rfam family "tRNA". The record is from RNAcentral. Lineage: Eukaryota; Metazoa; Chordata; Mammalia; Rodentia; Sciuridae.
AGAAGUCAGGCAGGCUGCCCAAGGACAUCUGGGACAAGCACUGGGCCCUUGGACUCAGUCUGAAUUCUCUCUCUUUCAUAUUUCAUUAUACUUUAUGCAAAGAUGUGGUUGAGUGGCACUCUGUUGAUCAUUUCUGUGAGAACCUGUACAAGUGAGUAAACUACUCUGAGCUCUGUUUGCUUGUCCAUGAAAUGGAGAUAAUAAUCGUAACUACCUCAUAGGAUCAUCAGGAGGAUUAAGUGAGUUACUGGAUGUGAAAUUAUAAAACUGUGCCUGGCAUUUGUUGAGAGCUCAAUCUAUGCUCUUCUUGUUGUUGAAGAAAGAACAAGAAGUUUGCUUUUUCUAAAAAAAAAAUUAUUUAUUUUUUAGUUGUAGAUGGACAACUAAACUUUAUUUUAUUUUAUUUCUUAUGUGGUGCUGAGGAUUGAACCCAGGGCCUCGAACGUGCUAGGCAAGCACUCUGCUGCUGAGCCACAACCCCAGCCCAAGAAGUUUGCUUUUAUUAUUGUUUGCUUUUAUAAAAAUAUGUUGUUUGCUUUUAUUAUUGCUUGUAUGUUUACUCAGAAUUGUUUUUGCAGGAGUGGGGAUACCCAGGGGUCAUCUGGGUCUCCUGGUGUCAUGCAGUGUCAGUAGCAUGUGGGUCUAAGAUGGCUGGUGCACUUAGAUAUUUUAGGGGUGUCAUAACACAAUACCCCAAGCUGGUGUGUUUAAACAAUAAAAAUCCAUUUUUUAAAACUGCUUUGGAGGCCAGAAGUUCAAAGACAAGAUGUCAACUGGACCAUGCUCCCUCUGAAGAUUCUAGAGGAGAAUAUUUCCUUUCCUUUUCCAGUGAGUUAUGGCUCCCAGCGAUCCUUGACUUGUUCCCACAUCAUCCAAUCUCUGCCUCUGUCUUCACAUGGCCUUCUCCCUCUCUCUCUGUUCUUUCUGUGUCUCUUAUGAGGACAUUUGUCAUUGGAUUUCAUACCCACUGGUUAAUCCAGGAUUUCAUCUCAUCCCAUCCCAUCUCACCUCACCUUUGAUCUCUUUGUGAGAUCCUUAACUUUAUUAUGUCUGCAAAGACUCUUUGUCCAAAUAAAAUCAUAUUCUCAUUCAUAGUUCUGGGAUAUGGGCACACCCUGUUUGUGGCCACCAUUUCACAAUGUAGCUGAGCAUUUUUGAGUGAGAGCCAGAUGUUAGAAAAGGAACAAAACUGGAAGGAAUUAAACCCAGAGACUUGGUGUUGGUUGAACUUUGUGCUUACCUGCCAUAGUCUUUGGCACUUAGAAAGCAGAAAUGGUAGAAAGAAAGAAUUGUGACUGCAAAGAUUUAUAUCAUUGUCUCAUCACAAAGGAAAUAUGGGUUGUGAUUGGUAAAUAAGGUGGACCCUCAUCUAUUAAGCAAACGCUGAUCAGGAAUCUACCCUAUCCCUGACACUACUGUGUGCUACAUGCCAGAGAUACAAAGAUGUCUAAGACACUGUCCCUAAACGUUUGGAGCCAAUAGUCUGGGGAGAACUAUAAGUAAAUAAAAAUUUAUAGUACAAUAUGAUAAGUUCAAAGCUUGAGCUGUUCUCAGUGCAUUACAGAGAAGGGGCAGGAACCAGGGGUGGGAUGGAGGGGAAGAAAGGGGUGUUAGCUGUGUCAGGUCAGGCUUCCUGGGGGUGGCAGAGGUGACACCAAGACAAGUUUGACAGAAGAAGUCAAGUUGUGGAAGAAAGGGUGUCAUGGAAGAGAGGGUAGGAAGGGGGAAAGGCUUAACAGGCAGGGAGGAUGAACCAGAGGACCAAAGGCACAGGGUCAAAUCAACAAAUGGGACCCAGGGUCAUCACAGGGUUCUUAGAGCAGGAGAGAGAGGACUCAGUGCCUGGUGGUCCACAGAGGAAGGCAGGGAGGAUUAUAGGGAGGCCUGCAGGCCACGAUAAGCACAGAGCAUGGCUCUUGUCCUUCUGGAAACCUCAGAGGUCACAGUAUGCUAAGCAUUUGAAGGAAGUCAGACUUGCUUUGGAGAGAAUUUGAGUGAGGGGGCAGAAGAGGGCAGGACUCAGUUAAGAGAAGACAAAGACCUGGAUUUAGUUCUAAGAUAUUGUGAGAGAAGGAGAGUCAUGAGCUUAUUCAAGAACAGAGGCUGGGGGCAAAACACCAAUGUCUGGAGGUGCUGUAGACAGAGGAAUCUAUGAACAAGAGCGAGGAGGGUCAGGAGGCAGAACCAGGAGAGGCUGUGCGAUGGGAAUGCAGAGCUUCCCGAGGAAGCUGAGAGUGGCUACUUGGUAAGUGGAAGACCUAUAAUUCUGACUUAUCAUUGAGGGAGAGGCUGGUCAGCAACCAGUGAAAGACUGAUGGGUGGGCUGGGGUUGUAGCUCCAUGGUAGAGUGCUUGCCUUGCAUGCAUGAGGCCCUGGGUUCGAUCCUUAGCACCACAUAAAAAUAAAUAAAUAAAGAUAUUGUGUUCAUCUUCAACUAAAUAAAAAUAUUAAAAAAAAGACUGAUGGGCAACGUGAUGAUGCUUUUUGGUGCAGAUUCUGACUUUGUAGAUGUGCUCUGCAAUUUUCAUUAUUGUGAGCCACUUCUGUGUUCAAAUCAAUGUAGGCAGAACAUGGUACCAGUGAAAGGAUGAGGUCUGGUAAGAAAGUGAGCAAGAGGGAAUAGGUAUAAGAGAAUCCAGUGAAAGAAAAGACACAGCUUAGAGGAUCGGCCUUGUAGGUGAGCCUCGUUAGAGAAGAAGAGGGACCAGGAGGCUCUGAUAGACUGGGGAGAGAAGGGUAGCAAUUGAUUAGAUUGUGAAAAGUAGCAUAGAUUGCCUCUGUAUAUGCAGUUGUAAGUAGUUGUUAUAACAAUAACUUUCUCAUUUCAACCUAGAUAAUUUCAAGUUUAGCUGAGUGAAGCUGCUGUAGUUCAAGAAAGGAACUACAUAAAAUGAAUGUGAAAUUUUGCUGGUGCCCCUACAGGAUUUUUCAAAUCCAGACUCUUUCAGGACUCUCCUGAAGGAAAGAGUGCUGUUUGGCUUAGGCAAAAAACUGCUACAUUCUCUGGUUUCUGCAUCGUUUCAAUUUGCAGCUUUCAGGCCUUUUGAAGUCUAAACUCAAUAAGUCAAGGAAAAAGGAGAGUGAGGCCUGUUGACAACAAGGACAUUAGACACAGCUGUUGGGUCAGCCCUGCCAACCUCUACCCAGUGCGCAGAGCUAGGAAGGCAGCCAGCCCCUGGCAUGACAUCUUCAACCAUGCAGCUGUGGACCCUGGCACAUCACUACGUGAGCUUGGUGAUAGCCUUGUAGCCACUGGGUAGCUUUUGAUUAGGACAAGAUGGCCAGCACGUGGGUUGGAUUUAAGUCAUGCUGCGAGUGGUUAGGAGCAGCCAUUUUUUUCACUGUCACAUGGACAGAGAUUGGGUGAUAGUUUUACAUUUCUGUGACUGAAAUACCCAACGAGAACAACUUAGAGAAGGAGAGUUUUGUUUUUUGUUUUUGUUUUUUUGGCUCAUGAUUUCAGAAAUUUAGUCCAUGGUGGGCCAACUCUAUUGCUCUGGGCCCAAGGUGAGGCAGAACAAUGGUGGAAGGACAGGGCAGAGGGAAGCUGCCCAGAACAUGGCGACCAGGAAGCAGAGAGAAAGGCAGGGGGAGAGAAAAGGAAGGGAGGAGUCACGGGGAAGAUGAACCCUUCCUGGGUACACCUCCAGUGACCCACCUCCUCCAGCCACGCCCCACCUGCCCACAGUUACCACCCACUCAAUUCUUUCAAACUAGGAUGGAAUGAUUAGCCAUAAUCUAUUAUGGCUCUUAUAAUCUGUUCACCUCUGAAUAGUCAUGCAUUUACACCGAAGAUGUUGGGGGACACUUCAUGUCCAAACCAUAAUAGAUUUAAACAUUCCGUGUGAUUUAUGAUUUUUUGUUGUUGUUGUUGUUGAACUUUGACAAUUGGAUUUUGUGAGCUCUUGAUUCCUCUAUGUUCAUAGUUGUAAUUUCCCCAGACCUUUACCUUCUACUCCACUACCAAGGGAGAUGGAAUCAUUCUUUCCUGGGACUAGAAUCCAAGGAAACUUCAAAGAUGACUUUUUUAUCCCCUGUCCUUCUUAUGGUUUCAGAAUGUGGAGUGUUCUGGAUCCAGAAAGGAUUUCUGAAGCAAAGACAGCAAAUAAGACAUGAUUGGGUGGUGGGGGAAAUGGAUACCAGGUACUCGACAAGAAGGUGGAGAGUGUAGUGUGUCCCAUAGUGUAAGGUCAGGGUCACCAGGAUGAGUGGUCAUGGCUACCAGGACAAUGAAAACCGAAAUCGUACCAACAGCGAAACAUUCUUUUGACUUAAGCCUGCUCUCUUGUUGAUGAGCAAGGGCUCCGGUUGGGGUAGCCAGUCCACUUAUUUUUGGACACCAUGGCUAAAUGCAUAUGAGUUUAUCAGAUCACUUCCUGACGUAGAUUUUGUUAGAAGGUUGAAAGUGGGAGAAGGGUAUUGGACACCUGAGAGGUGUGAGGACACUGGAGAGGAGCCUUCAGUGAGGGAGGGGAGAGAGAGGGAAGAUCCUGUCACACGUUUUUCUUAGAGUUGGCACUAUUAAGGAAUAGAGAGUGAUGGAAAAUCAGGACGAUGAGAAAAGGGAAGAAGGGCAUGGUUUAAAUCCUGCUCUCAUCAAGAGAGACAGGAAACAACCCAGCCUGUGUCUUAAAAUAGAGCAGUGUCUUGAUUACAUUCCAGAGACCCUUUCUUUAUAUAGUUUUUAAGGGUAUAAAACACACAGUCUAAUACUUCUUCAUGUCUUCUCCCCACUGAAAAAACUCUUCACGGUGCCUUGCUAAAAGUUUAGUCCCCUUCCUCAGCUCUCCUGACAUGUGCAAGGACAACAAGGACUCUCCACAAAGUCAUGUUAAGAGGAUUAAUUAGUGGAAAAUACAAUAUUACACUUCUAUUAAAGAUAACAGCUAUGAAAUGUUCUAUAAGCCCUUGGGUAUAAACAUUCUGUUUCCCUUACAUUUUCAAAUUAAAUUAAAACUAGUUUGACCCCUGUGAAAUAAAAAGAAAAAAAAAUGGUAAACUCAAAAUCACACUUCCACAAUCUUGGUUAAAACUAAAAAAAAUAAGAUUGUGAUGGCUUCGCUGGGGUCAAAGCUUGAAAUGAAAAAAAAUCUUCGAAACGUGGAGUUGAGAAAUUAUAUAUUUCCAUAAGAUAAAGAUUAAGUUAAGAAUUGCUUACAUUUGGUAACAAAUAAAUUACAACUGAAGGAAAAGAGCCUUCAGGGGAGAGAGAUUGAUUAAUUGAUUAUGGGAAUUGGCUCUCAGAAUUAUAGAAGCCAAGAAGGGCUACGAUUGGUCACCUGCUGAUGGUGUAAUUAAGUGUGGGUCUGAAGACCGAAGAACCAGAGGAGCCAAUGGUGUGACUGUCAGUCCAACACCAAAGGUCUGAGUACCAGGAACCAAUGUCUGACAACAGGCUUAGAUAGGUGGCCCUGCUCAAGCAAUGUGAACUCCUUCUUCCUCUCCCUUUUGUUUCUGUUUAGAUUGUCCAUGGAUAGGAUGAUGUCUGACCACAGCGGUGAGAGUUGUCUUUACCCAUCCUACAAAUUCAAAUACUGAUCUCUUCCAAAACACCCUCAGAGGUACACCCAGAGAUAAUGUUUUACCAACUAGUUGGACAUCCCUUAGCCCAGUCAAGCUGUCACAUAAAAUUAACCAUGACAACUAAGAGCUUCCACAGUCUAAAACGAGUUCUGUCAAACCUUAUUCUUAUGCCUUCCUGAUAGUACUAUACUUCCAGAAUCUAAGACCUCCAUACCUGUGUUAUGACUGCCAUUGAGCAGAUGUGGUUAUCUAAAGAAAUGCAUCUACUCCCUCUUAAGUCAGGCACAACAACCUCGAUGAAUUCAGAGAUGAAUAUGUGUGGAUAAGUCAUUUGUCCAUCUGUAUCCAGCUAAGACUCUGAUUAAUUCUACCUAAAUAAAAGUAGGAAGCCGAGGCUAGGCAGUGAAUAUAGGGUGGUCUCUGUAAUCACCUAAAAUAUUUAAUGGCUACCGUAUUCUAGAUCAUUAGCAUGAGCAUCAUCUACAUGUAUACAUAUGUUAUGGUUUGGAUGUGAGGUGUCCCCCAAAAGCUCAUGUGUGAGACAAUGAAAGAAGUUUCAGAGGAGAAAUGAUUGGAUUGUGAGGGCCUUAACCCAAUCAGUGAAUUACUCCCUGAUGGAAUUAACUGAGUGGUGACUAGAGGCAGGUGGGGUGUGGCUGGAGGAAGUAGUUAAUUAGGGGCGUGACUAUGGGGUAUAUAUUUUGUAUCUGGAGCUGGAGUCCGCCUUUGUCUGCUUCUUGACCACCAUGAUGUGAAUUGCUUCCCCCUGCCACAUACUCCGCCAUGAUGUUCUGCCUUACUUUGAGCCCCGUGGAAAGAAGUCGUCGACCUUCUCUGGACUAAAACCUCUGAAACCGUGAAACCUCAAAUAAACUUUUCCUCCCCUACAGUUGUACUGGUUAGAUCCUUUAGUCACAGCAGCCAAAAAGCUGACUAAAAUAAUGUAUGUGUUGUGGGUGAAGAUUCCUUCCAGGACUGUGUGGUCCUUAGGACUAAAGGUCCUUACACAGUUACUUGCAGAUGCUGAAUUUCUGAAUAAUACCCAUCCAGCUUGUUACCCCACAAAUGGUCAUUACUGUAAGUGAUAUCCAGUUCAGCAAGCCAAACCUAUCAGCACACUGCUUGCUUGCCUUGGUCUGCUGAAGAGAUACUCACUUGGAGAAAUAUGCCUUCUAUGAACGUUGAAGUUUUGGCUUAUCAUCACCAGCUGAGGCUUGUCAUUGAGCCUUUUCAAGGUCAAUGUCCCUAUGCAGCUCAUCCAGGUUAUAUUAAUAUUUUGGGGGUGCCUUAUGGCAUAUGACCAGGGGUUUGUGCCAUCUCUUCUCAUGGAAUGCUCCCCUACCUGAGGAAUGUUAUAAAAUCUCCCCUCUUACUGAAUGCUAUUUUUUUGGUUCAUUCAGUUUUUUAAUAAUUAAUGCCUGUGUAUUCUAGGUCAUUAGUUUGGGUUUAGUCAACAUACUUUUUUUAAGCUCUAGGGAUAAAAUAGACAUGUUACCCCAUUUUCACAGAACUCAAAAGUCUAGCAAGGAAGAUAGACAUUCAGUAUAUAAUGAAAACAAAUUAAAUUCAUGAUUUCAUGCAGGUGACGAGCUAUAAAGAAACAGGUGCUAUGGGGACAUAUACCAGGGAGGUUUCCCUGAGGAAACUGAAGCUGACAUAUGACGGAAACAUUUGUAUAUCUGUCUGUAAAAGGAAAACUAUUUUUAUUGGAUUUUAGGAUGUGCCUGGAAUCCAUACCCUCCAUUACUGUGCUCUGGUGGCCACCUGAGUUGGCCUCAUAAAGCUGUUUCAAUUUCCUCAGCAUUUCUGAAGGCCAGCGAGUCAUUAUGACAUGCACAAAACUAUGAGGACGAUGCCCAGGCUAGGGGCUGGAGGUGACCCUACAGGCUUUCUUCAACCUUGAGUUGUGGCGGCUUCUAGGUUUUUUACCUCUGGGUACUGAAGAGUUUGAGAGAGCUAAGCUCAUUAAGAGCUUUCCUUUCUACUCUAGCACUGAUAAGUAGGGUAAUUCAGGUUUCCACUCCCCUGUCAGACUGAGAGGAAAAGUCAGGUCAAUGUGGGUCUCACUAACAAUGGCUUCUCAUCAAAAGCUUCCUUUGAGAGCCUGUUCACAAAUCCUUUAGGAAGUUGGAGGUCUCUUCCAUCUGCUUCUGAGUCUGUUUUAAGAGUCCCUUCCUGGCUGCCCCUGAAUGAUCUUCCUGUUUCACUCACUGUGUGGUUUCUUAACUGGGGUGAUCUCUUUGCUACAGAGCUAGUGGGUGCUUCUUAAUGUUCCCAUGUUAACUUGGUUCUAUGUUCCCUCAUUUUUUUUAAACAGGACAGCCAUAUGCUUUGGAUUAUUGAGAGCAUCCAUUCUUGUAGUCUUCUUUCCACUGAGUCAAAUUUCCAGUUUACUAAAAUCAGCCCACCACCCACUGGCACUUGUCAGACCGCCUCUGGGAAAGGAGAGGAUGAUGAAGCCAUAUAAACAAUACAACCAGGGAAUACCCACCUAAGGGCCCCUAACACACACUUCUUGUUUAGCAGUGUGGCUCUUGGACAAAGAGGUUCAACCUAGGCGCAAGGGCAUCACAUCUCUGAAAGCAAUGCAGAUAGUCUGGGGGAGGGGGAGCCCAAUCUAUUGCACGAGUUAAAAGUUUCCAAAGUUUUGUGUGGGAGCUGUGUUAUAAAUCCUGUUAUCUGUUAAUGGGAUUUGGGCCUGAAACACCCACAUGCUGCUUUGAAAUUUUCCUCCAUCUGUUCAUUUCUGCAAAGCUUAUUUAUUUAUUUAGGACAAGGAAGUGGCCUACUAAUGGCUCUAGAUGAACAUUAGGAUUGUAGAUCUGUGGAGAAAAUAGAUAACUGUUUCCCGGGUCUCUUCUCAUAUGUAUCUUCUUACAUCCACUCCUCUGGGGUCUUUAGGUGAUAAGGUUCUGAUAGAAGUGGACUCGAAGAAAUCAUUAUCAACACUGCAUAGACCAAAAAAUGAUCAGCAAGUGUAGUCACUCAACAAUUGAAAGAAAUACUGAAGGGACUUAUUCAUACAUAGAUGCAAUAUAGGCCUCAUUCAGGAAGGGACCAGUUCUUUGUCUUUGGAAAAGAACUCUCCAUAAACAUGGGUUUAUUUUAUUUUAAUUCAACUUUUGUAAUUUUCCUCUCAUCUUUUCCUAUGGGUCAAUUACAACUAGGAGGUUUUCCUCUCCACACCACUUUCCUUUUCUGUCGUGACAAGUGAAGCUUUGGCCCUAAUUCCAACCCUUAGGCUUUUUGACCCAUUUUUGACCAAUGUGGGCAAAACGGGGCUGCACCUUUAGCAGCUCUGACUCGUUCUCUUAGCCAAGAUGCUUCUGCAGACCCAGUUUUCUUCUCAGAAAAAAAAAAAAAGCAACUGGAGUGCCAAGUCUUAUAGUUAUUUUAUAAUUAGAAGGCACUUUUUGGAUAUUUAUUCCUUCAACAAAAAUAUUUCCUGAAUGCUCAGUAGAAACUAGAUAUACUGGUAGGCGAUCAGGAUACAGAGGUGAAAAGAUACAUAGGCUUUUGCACCUAAGGAACUUAAAGACAGAUGGAAGAACCUACAUUAAAUAAAUUUCCAGUUGUGGCAAGUGUUGUAAAGAAAAGUUCAGUGAAAGAUUGAAGCUGAGGGACUGGUUGAGAUGGUGGGCUUCCCAGAAGAGGUGACUUUCAGUAUGAAAGGUGGCAUUUCUCCAUUAUGUUCACGCUUUACUGCCAUUAAGGGGCAUAAAGGAGAAUUAACAACAAUAACCAUUACUACAUUUAAAACAAAAUUUGGCUGAGUGUGUCUUUCCAGCUCUUUUCUCUUUGGUGCUUGAUUACUAAAACCAAGAAAGUACAAAUCAUCUAGAGACCAAAUGCCUCUUGAGAUAUGUUUUCAGUGUCUGAGUAACUCAUUUGGAAAGUGCUAAAGUUCUACACCAAGGUGAUGAGGUCUAAGAGAGGUAGACAGGAUAGAAAAAAGAAGUUGUUGACAUGAAGACCCCAAGAAGACAGUGGAGAGACCUUUCUCCUUCAUUCCUUCAGGUAAUGCCAGCCCAUCUGUGGAGGUGGGGAGUAGAUGUAGAGGAAGGGAACUUGUGACAAUACCUGGCUUGGGGACUGUUGGGACAGGCCCCCAAAUGGCUGUAGUCAGGCUCCCUCGCAGAGACUUCCUGCAGGCUAUGUGAUGUUUUUAGUAUAUAACCAGGGGCUGGGAACCAGCUAUGUCAUGGUUGUCAAGGCCAGAAACCCUCUGACUCAGCAUAUAUAGUCAAGGUCAUAAACAUUAACUGUGAGCAUGUGCCCCCCUCUUUAUGUAACCUGUUGGCAGUGUGCCUUCUUUGUUUUACCUGCACAUAAAGGGGGCUAUGGAAAAGACUCAGGGUGAAAUGGCUAAUGGCGGCUGGCUAAUGGCUAUGGCACCUCCAAAUAAAGGGUGACCAGUAUUCCCACUGUGCCUUGCAUCUCCUUCCUCCUGCCCAACUCGAAGUAUGUUUCCUGGUCUGAGCUCCCACAUGACAGAGACCUCCCAAGAAAAGCUUGGAGAUGCACUCCUUGGAAACACCCACUUAGAUGAGUGCUUUUCUAAGAUUCUGUGAAGAGGAGAAAGUCCUAGGCGGGAUGUGAGUACCACAAGAUGUACAGCUUGGAAUGGCUCCAGGAAUCUACACUCCCACCCAGUUCCCAGACAGUGUCCACGCUGCCAGUCCUGUCGACAACCUCCAAGAGCCGUCUCCUGGUUUCUCUUUCUGUUUCCUCUCUGCUUUCCUCAACUUCCUUAUUUCUCAUAUGGAACUUGUUUUUCUUCCACACUUAUUGUUACAGUUCCUCCUUUCUAUAAUUCUACCUGACCCCAAGCUCCAUUUCAACUCACGAUUUGGUCAUUUCUGAACUGAGCAAAACAAAGGGGAUAUGUUCUCUUUGUUUUCCUCAUAGCACAGACAGUACAUCUGGAGCUAAGGCAGCAGACAGGGUUACCCAACAUCUAGGAAAACUAUCCUUUCUUCUUGUGUUUUCCAAUUUCCAUUAGCAUUGCUUCAGCCUUAUAGCUUUUCCACUAUGGAAUUGUUCUCAUUUCCACAAACAGUUUCAUUGUAAAAUACAUUAGUUAUGAAACAAAAUUUGUAAUGCCUGUGUGGGUUCCCAUUCAUAAUGAGAUUUCAUUAUUGUUUUAUUUAACUUUUGGAAAUCAUUUGACAAUGAGUUUGGGGAACUCAGAAAGGAUAUCGAAGUGGUGAUUUGUGCAUUGUGGUUUGGAUUAUCUAGUUGAAUUACAAUACUAAUAAUGGCUCAGUGUGGUGCUGUCCAUAGUAUAAUUUUAAACUUUCUGGUAGUCACAUUUUUAAAAAAGUGAAAUCUAAUGGAUAAAAUAACUUUGAUAGUAUACUUAAUUUAACAUACUAUAUCCCAAAUCUUCAACAUGAAAUUUCAACAUGUAAUCUAUAUAAAAACUACUAAUGAGAAAUGCACAUUUUUGUGCUAAGUUUUUGAAAUACCAUGUGUAUUCUGUAUUUACAGCACAUCUUGAUUUGGAUGGGGCACAUUUUAAAUGCUUGACAGCCACAUGUAGUUAGUGGGCUUCUGAAUUAGAUAUUGGUAUAGAGCCUUGUUCUUUGUUUUCCAUUUGGCUCUUGGAUUUGUUAUCCUAAAGCUAACAGGAUCUUUCAAUUUUACUUAGCCCAAAUUUAUUUAACAGAUAAGAGAAAUGAGUCAGGAAAAGAGGUGACUUGCCAGGGCACACAGUGUGCUGGGGACAUGGUGGGCUCUGAGUCCAUGUCUCCUACUCUCUGGUCAGAGCUCUUUCUAGUGCAGACUGUAGUUAGUGGUGAUGCUAACUCAUGACACUUGUCUAAACAAGGAAUAGGCCAAUCGAUGCCAAAUGUUGCAUUCUGUGCUUUGCUUCUGACUUGAGUUAGGAUCAAAUUCUUCCCUCAGCAAAUUAACUCACUCACUUGUUCAUUGAUUCAGCCAGCCAGCCAUUCAUUCAUUUGGCAACCUACGACUUGCUAGAUGCUAGGAAUGCAAAUACACUGUGAAGAAAUUUGGUCCAGGGGAAAACAGACAAUACAGCACGCAUCACAGGAUCACAAAAAAAUAUGUUAGAGGUUCAACCAGAAUGUGGGUAGGGUUCUAACAGUUCUGAGACCAUCACAGAGGGCAUGGACUAAAGGCACAGUCUGUGAAAUGACAACAGUGCAGGGAAGAGUCUGACAGGAUGACAAAAGACCACUGACAACCAGACUGAAAUUCAGACCAUCAUUCAUUUAUAUACAGUAAAUGGUUUUAGGUAGACACGGUUUGCAUAUCAAAGAAGGUUGCCAUCUAGAGGGGAAACAUGCCCAAAUCAGUGUAUUAAAAUGAAGAAAUAAAUCACAAACUAUGAAGAGAGGUCAAGAAGCAACAUGGUAAGGCAGAGGACGAAGCUUUUGGACAUUGGUGGGAAGAGAAGAAGAGGUAUAUACUAAUUAGAGUAAGACCAGCUGUUUUCACCUUAGCGGGAACACCAAAUGUGUCAUGGCUCAAAGGCAAAUUGUUUUUUUCUCACUCACAUAGAAUCCAAAAUGACUACUGCCUGACCAGCAGGUGGCUCUUCCCCAUGCAGUGAUUCCAGGUCCCCGGCCCCUUCCAUCUUGCAGCUCCUCAAUUUUUAACAUAUCGUUUCCAUGGUCACCGUGCUCUUCUGUAUCAAGGUUUUCUUUUCAGGGAGAUUAGCAAGUCUGUCAGUGACGCCUGUGAUUUUUGCUCACCGUCUGGUAUGCUUUGGAUGAGAGGUGUCACCCAAAAGCUCAUGAUUAGAUAUUGAGAGCUGUAACCUCAUCAGUGGAUUAAUUCAUUUAGUUGAUUAAUCGUUUAAAAGGACUACAGUACUAGGUGUUAACCAUAAGCAGGUAGGGUGUGAUUGGAGGAAGUAGGUCACUGGUGGUGUGCCUUUGGGGUUUGUAUUUUGUCCCUGGCUUUCUUUGCUUCCUGACUGUCACUAGAUGAACAGUUUUCCUCUGCCAGGUCCUUCUAUCAUGCUGUCCUGCCUCACUUCAGGCUCAAAGCGACAGAGUCAGUUAAUCAUGGAUUGGAUCUCUGAAACCCUGAGCCCAAAAUAAGCUUUUCCUCUUCUAAGUAGUUCUUGUCAGGUAUUUUGUUCACAGUGGCCAAAAUCUGACCCACAAACUGUCCCGUGAAACAUAUAAGUGUAAAGGAGGCUGGGAAAUGAGGUCUAGCCAGAAAUGCAAGAAUGCAGAGGGAAAUGUGUCUACCCAGGUAGAAGAGAAAACAGCGUGAUGAACAUCUAGCUAGUUUCUGUCCCAGAUUCAAAGGUCCAAAAGGAUAUUUGCCAAUGCAGAAUAAAGGGAAGAAUGUUCCCGACAGAGGAAGUGGUGUGUUAGGAAGCUGAGAUAUGAACAGUGUGGCUGAAACGUGGGGAGGAAGUGAUAUGGGAGAAUGGUGAAGAAAUGGGUAGGGUUCAGGUGGGAGAGGGGAUUUUGGAGCUUUAAAUUAUUAUGGUGAGGUAUACAUAACAUUGACUUUACCAUCUGAGUUAUUUCGACGUGUACAGUUCAGUGGCGUCACUUGCAUUCACAGUAUAGACAUCACCACCAUCCAUCUCUAGAACUUCAUCCUUCCAAUCUGGAACUCUGCACCAUUACACAUGAACUCCCGAUUCCUCACUCCUUCCAGCCCAGCUUUACCUCUGUUUUACUUUCUGUCUCCUUUAGUUUGACUACUCAAAGGACCUUAUAAGAGGAAUCAUAGGAUAAUUGUCUUUUUAUGAUUGGCUUAUUUUAUUUAUGUGCUCAAGUUUGUUUAUGUAGUAGUAUGUGUAAGAAUUUCCUUCCUAAGGCUGAAUAAUACUCCAUUAUAUGCAAAGAGCACAUUUUGUUUAUCCAUUGAUCCAUCAAUGGAUGUUUGAGCUGUUUCUACCUUUAGGCUAUUGUGAAUAACACUGCAAUGAACAUUAGUGUACAGAUAUCUGUUUGAGGCCCUACUUUCAGUUCUUUUGGGUAUAUGACAGAAAUGGAAUUGCUGGAUGAUGUGGUAAUACUGUUUAAAGUUUUUGGGGAACCACCAUAUUGUUUUCCAUGGUGGUACUCCAUUUUACAUUCCCACCAACAGUUUUCAAGAAUUCCAAUUUUAGUGACGUUGAGCAUUGUUUCCUGUGCUCAUCAGUCAUUUCUAUGUCUUCCUUGGAGAAAUGACUAUUCAAGUUCUUUCCCCUUUUUAAAAUUGUCUUUUUGUUGUUGAGGAAUUUGAGAUUCUAUUCUAAAUGCAAUGGCAAAACAUCUUGAGGCUCGGUCAGGGGAAUGGCACGAGCCAAUUCUCAUUUUAGGAAGAUUAUUCCUUCAUCUGAGUGAUUAUGUGAUUUUCUCCAAUAGUGGGGAGAGGGGGGUGCUGAUGACAUCAUUAACCACAGGAGUCCUUGAUCACAAUAUGCAAAAAUGUAGUGCAAUUUGUUCAGAAGGCCUGGGUUCUACCUUUCCUCCCACAGACUUCAACCAUGUCCUGUAUUUCUAUGUUCCUGCGGACUUGUUCCAUGUUUCCCAUUUUGGGGUUGCUUGGGGGUUGGGGGUGGGCUUGGAGACAGCUCUAAGAGGGUGAAGGAUGAUUCAAACUCUAGCUCCAGUGAUUCUUAAAGGGCCUGACAGGGGCAGACCAAUUAGUGUAAGUGGUGAUAUUUGUUGCUCUGAGUAUGGCAGAGACACCUGUUCCUUUGGAAGCUGGUGACAUUGCUAAUUCAUUCCACAGCAGCCUGACAGGAACAGCUGGAAUGGAGUAAGAGAUCAGUGAUGGCAAAGUGAUAGGAGUUCCCCUCUCCUGAGAGUCAGUUCUUCUCACCCCUUGUAUUUCUGAUACAUUAAAGCCAGAACUCAAUAUUCAACUGAAUGUGGUGUUUUACAUUUUUUCCAGUUUUCUAUACUUUGUUUUCCUCCUGAAUGUUCUUGCUUAUUCAAGUGAAAAUGGUUCUCCAUCUUUAAUGUAUCAGAAUCACUUGUAGGGUCUGUUGAAACACCAGGUGGUGGGCUGACCCACACCAAGUUCCUGAAGCACAGGUCUCAAGAAUUUGAAUUUCCAACAAGUUCUAGGUGCGGCUGGGCCCACUAUUUGAGAACCACUGCAUGAAGAUAAUAAGCGUGGCCCUUUGGGGUCAUGGAGCAAAUUAAUUACGGAUCUUUAAAAUAACAGUAAUUGUAGUUGCUAUUCACCAGAGCUGGGAGGUAGACUGCCCACCUCCUUUGGAAACAUUUUCUCCUGUACUGCUGUGUGUUCAUGUGUGUGUGUGUGUGUGUGUGUGAGUGUAUGUGUACACAUUUGAACUUGCCUGUAUCUGUGUGAACACAGACAUGCAAGCUUGUGACCUUCAAGGACUCUUCAGUACCAUUACUUUUCUGAGAAGAAACAUCAGGGGAUAAGUCCCUGGCACUCAUGUGACUGGGAGAGAUCCAUUUCCCUUUUUUGUUCUAUGUGAUGAAAAGGAAAAAAUGAUUUUGUCUAUUUCUCAAGAGUGCAUGGAGAAUUAGCACCUAUGCAAACCUUUAACUAAAUUCAUUUAGUUCAUUGACAAAUAUUUUUUAAAAAGAAAAAUAUUAAUUGCACAUCUACUGCAGUGAACAAAACAGAGUAAGUCCCUGGCCAAGUGGACUCUUUUUUUUUCUGGUGGUAGGCAUAAGAAAUAAGCAAACUGAAAUACAUACUUGUUAUAUGUCCAGUGGCAAUGGAUGCUAAGCAGGAAAUGUGUGUGUGUGUGCGCGCGCGUGUGUGUGCACGCGCAUAUGCACAGGGAUAAGGAACGUAUCCCUGAUGAAGGGACAUUUGAACGUAGGAAGCAAGGGAAAGGGCCACAUGGAGAUCUGGAAAUAAAAGCAUUCCAGGCAGAGGGGAUUGCAAGGGGGCUACUUCAAGGAAGAGCCAAGAGGCUAGUGUGGGGUUAUGAAAAUGAGGUGCGCACAUGAGGUCAGUUCCAGACCCAGCUUGUGUAAGAACUUAGAAGUUAUUAUAAAGACCUGAGUGAAGUAGAGGCUACAGGAGGGUUUUGAGCCAAGGAGGGGUGUGGUUGGAUUUGCAUAUUAGAAGACCAUCCUGGUCCCUGAGUGGAGGGAGUCCUGGGGGGAGAGUGAUGGUGGAAUUGGGAAGACCAAUCAGGAUACAGUGUCACUAGCCAAGGCACGUGGUGAUACUUGAUGGGACCAAAAUCUAGAGGUCAAGGAGGUCCCAACUGGUUGAUUUUGGGAGAUAUUUUGAAGGAAGUGUCAACAGGAUCCAUUACAUUUUAGAUAUAAGGCAGAGUGAGAGGAUCAAGGUUCACUGGGUUUUUUUGAGCUGAGACGCAGGAAAUCUGGAGCUGCCAAUACCUGUGAUGGGGAGAUCUGCAGAACUAGCUAGCUGGUGAUCUAGCUGUGUGCCCAACAGAAAAAGGAAAUGAAAGGAAAGCACUGCUGCAGGACAAAGAGACAUCACCUACUCCUACACCCUCCACAGAGCUGGCGACUACAUUUUUGUGUUUUCAAGAUUCUUUCCAUUCUAUCUUCAUCUCAAUUCAUAUCUUCCAAGUAGUCGUAGUUAAUGGUGCUGAGUGUUUAACAGGUGAUGUGAAAAGCUGCCGACACAUUAUCUCAUGGAAUCCUGGUAACCAUCCAGGACAGAGAAAAGGUGGAUCUUACUGUAAAUGUACUACAGAGGACCUCUCUGCUUGUCUCCCCACCUUUUCUUUCUCUUCUCCCAUGGAUCGUUAAAGCCCUGUAGCCUGGCUACUGUCCAGACCAAAUAUAUGUAUAUAUGUACAUGUGUGUAUAGACCACGUAUGUACAUGUACAUGUGAUUUGAAAGUGAUUGUUCUUUGGCCUUAAUAUCACAUAUAAACUCACUAGGAAUUUGGCUUUGAUGGAAGAGACAAGUGCCCUGUGCUACGUGCUCAUCACUUGGGCUGCAGUGGCCAGGUGCUUGGGUCACACUUGGCUGAUGCUGUCUGAGGGAUCAGAGUCCACCUGCAGACAUGUGAUGCAGUUCCAUGACCAUCCCAUCUUGUCUGGGCUGACAUGCAGCAGGGCCCGCGUGGUCCCCUAUUAUCCCUUGAGGCUGGUGCAGACAGUGGGCAGGGAAAGAACAACACCGAGGAAAACUCUGGCCAAAGCUCUCUCAGCCACCAUGGCAUGAAACACCCAUGUUAGAGAGCUUCCUCUUGGUGUGAGUCACUGGGCUUUCUCAUUCAAAAUGUAGAACGAGGAUGCAUUAAUUCCAAUGGCACAGGACAGGACAGGCAACACAGAGGACAGGGAAAAUGCCUUUUUUUUGGUCUGGAAUCCUAGCUGUCUUCGGUGACCACACAGAUGAGGUCCCUUAUGGGGAAUCCAUCCUCUCAUUUUCUGUAUUUAUUUAGUCAACAAGAAUUUAGGGCCCUACUGUGUGCCUGGCACUGUUUCAGAUAUGCAAAACAGGCAGAAGUCCUCCCUUUCAGAGAGCUUAGAUUUUAGUGUGUGUUCAGGGGCCAUGAUAGAGACAUAAGUAAAAUGAACAGUGUACACAGAUGGUGAUAACUACUGUGAAGGAAAACAAAAUGCAGGGAGGUAAGAAAUUCCAGUGGGAGGAGGAUUGGUGAUGCCCUUUGAAGAAGAAGGGUCAGGGAGAAGCCCUCCCCGAGGAGGGGAGCCAUGUGGUUGUGGGGGUUGGAUGUGUUCCAGGUAGAGGGCACAGCCAGUGCCAAAGUCCAGGGCUGGGACUCUGACGGUGAUGGAAUUGCAGACGGGAGCCCCAUGUGGAGGGGAAUGGAGGGUUGGAGGAGGGAUGAGGUCAGAGGGCUGGAAGAGGCUGGAUGGCUUGGCCAUGGGGCCAGAGCAGGCUCGGAGUGGAGCAGCCACAGGUCAAACUUCAGUGGGAACUUGUGGUCAUUGUGUUUAGGAGAGAAAAGAAAGUAAGCUGUGAGAUCAGAGGGAGCCUGUGGCCGCAGUCUGGUGGGGUGAGGUCAGUGGAGAGCUGAAAAGAGAAAAACAUGCGAAGUAGGAUUCGGGGACCCUGGGGACAAGCAUGGCCUUCUUCAUGAGUUUCCCUGUUUCUAAUUUUGCCCCAAAUCUCUCUGCCUCUGUAAGACACACCUGGAUCUUGAGUCCACCUGGAGCUGAGGUGGAGGCUUUCCUCUCCCUCUGCUGUCCUGGGUCCUAGAGUGUGGGCCUGUCUCCCCAGCCACCCUGUGUGUCUGUUCCUAGCAAGUGUGACGUGUCGGCCUGCCACCCCCCACUUCUGCCCAGGCUGGCUGGCAUUCAGGCUUCUUUGUAGUAGGUCAGAGCCUCUGGAGUGUCCUUACCUCCUCCUGGUCCUCGACAGCUCUGGACUCUGUGUGGCCAUAGACGGGCUUGUAAUUAUAUGAGCUCCCUGAAGACUUGCAUCUGUGGGAAGAAGGAUGUCUGAGCUCAGAGUUCAGAUGCCUGUUCAGAGAGAUGGAAGGAACUCUGGGCUCACAGAAGGACAUCUGUUGGGCACAGAAGGACCCUGGUGCCCUGGUCCAAGCCUGGUUCCAGCACAUGUGCUGAGGGCCAGAGAGGCAGCUCCUGUCUGUGCCCCUCCCCACGGAGACAGGGAACCACAGAUGGCCUGCAAUCUGAUAUGCUGGAUGUUUUCAGAGCUCCCAGAGUGGGAUGGGAAGCCGAAUUGUACGCUUCCAGGAAAAGUGCUUCCGUGAGAAAUUUGUCAUUUUGUCUCUAACUCCAUUAAAAGCUUUGUCGUGGUACAAACCCCAGGCAGAAAUGGCCUUUUUGUAAAUGCCAAGAAAAUCACUGGGUUGAGAUGUAUUGUGUUUGUAAAAAGAGCAAACCAGAGUGAUUUCUCACACCUGGUGCCCACCCUAAUCCACUGCAAAUACGACAGGACAUCCCAAUGACACGGAGAUCAUUUGCCUUGACUAUCUUCAUGGUCUAUUUCUUUAGAAAAGAUGAUUUUUAAAAAGCUUGAAGGAUUACCCUUUUUUAUAUUUGGCUCUUCCCCCCACCCCUUCUCCCUUUUUGAUUUUAGGAAUGCCAUACCGCAAUAGCUACCAAAUGACAAAUGCAUUUAUCCGUUUAUGCAUAAAUCCUAUUUUGGAAUUUAUUUUAGAUCCACUUCCCUGUAUGUGAAAUGACACAUUGGGAAUGUUUGUAAGGACAAAGAGAGGACUCUUUUAAAAAAGCAAUGCUGUAUCUGCACAGUGGGAUUCUCUGACACUGUAAAAAGGAAUCAGGAUAGUCUCCUUACUGACAUCAGAAGAUUGCUAGGAUAUGCUGUUCAGCAUGGAAAAAAAAUACCAAGAAGCAGAAGGGUGCUAACUUUUGCAUAAGAAAUGGAGGAAAAUAAGCAUAUAUUCAUAUCUGCUUCAUAUGCAUAAAUGCUGGGAGGUAGAAAAGAAACUAAUAAAAAUAGUUCCUUUGGGGGACAAGAUAAAUAGAGCAGAUGAAGACAUGGAUACGAGACCCCUCAGAGCAUUCCUUUAUUAGAGUUUUGAUAUUAGAGUCAUAUAAAUGUGUUCUCCUCACAAUUUUUUACAAAGGAGACACAUCCAAACGUAUUUAGACCCCAGUGACUUGCGGCUUCGCUUCUGACAGUGGUAUAGGGAGCUGCAAAGAGUUUUGAUAAUCAUGGAAUUUUUGAGCACCACCCACCUGUGUUAAGCAGGGGCUGAGAGGGGGCUUGAGAGGGAGAGAUGGAGAAGAACCAGGACUUGUCCUGGAGGAAUCUGUCAGUCAGAUUUUUACUGCUGUAACCAAAAUACCUGACAAGGAGGCAACAUCUAUUUGGGCUCAUGGUUUCAGAGGAUUCAGUCCAUGGUCACUCCAUCAUGAUGAGGAAGAACAUCAUAGAGGAAGAGUAGGGGCAGAGCAGGGGAAAGCUGUUUAGCUCAUGGCAGCAGGAAGCAGAGAGAGAGAAGAGAGAAACAAGACAUCACCAUCCCUGAUCUACUUCCUCCAGCCACACCCACCUGCCUACAGUCACCACCUGGAAGUCCAUUUAAAUUAUUAAUCUACCAAAUAGGAUUAAUCCACUGGUGAUGUGACAGCUCUCGCCAUCCCCUCAAAGCCUCACCUGUGAACCUUGCUACAUUGGGGUCCACACUUCCAUCACAUGGACUUUCUGGGGAUAUUAAACAUCCAAACCAUCACAAGGCACUUGCAGCCUAGCAGAGGAGAUUGGAGAGGAAACAACUGGUGACAAUGUUGUGCCACAUGAAAGGGAAGUGCAAGGUGCUGUGGAGGUUGCAGGAGAGAGAGUUAGCUUUGGGAGGAAGGGGCUGAGAGGGUCAGAGCAGAACACAGGAGAAUGAGGCUGGAAAAGAGAUAGAAGAAAAGAAAUUAGGGAAGAAAAAGGAUGUACAGAGGCCCAGUUCAGAAGAAAGAAAAGGACCAGAAUAUGGGGAGACUUGAGAGUGCUUGGGUAGAUGCAAGUAGUCAAGCAUGGCUGCAAGGGAAGAGAUGGGUGUUAACCUGAGAUUGGUGGGAUGUCAAAGGCAGAAGAGAAGGGACAAGCCAUGAGGAUCCUCAUUCGUUAUUCUGUACAGAUGCUGCUCAUUGUGCUACCCACAUCUGUUCUCCCUUCAUCCAGUAUUCCCUUCUUGCUCCGCCUACAGCCUGUGGGAAUAAAGACGUACAUCGUAUCCCCUUUGCAAAUUAGUGUAUCCAUAUGACUAAACCCCAGCCAAUGGGGUGUAAACGGAAGGCAUGUGUGCAACUUCCAGGAAGGGUCCUUCAAAGGAGGGCCUGUGUCUUUCUCCUCCCCAUUCCCAUUGGCAGGAAUGCAAAUAUGGCUAGAAUAGCCAUCUUCUAUUUCUUAAAUAGAAAAGUUUUAUUUUAAUAUUCAGCCUGAUUAAAAUAUUUUUCCCAUGUUUUUAUUGGUGCAUUAUAUUUGUACAUAAUGAUGGGAUUUAGUGUUACAUAUUCAUACAUGCACACACUAUGAUAAUAUAAUUUGGCCAAUAUCACUCCCCAGCACCUCCCCCCUUCCUGCCUUGGUCCCUUUCCUCUACUGAUCUCCAUUUGAUUUUCAUGGAUCCAUCCCACCUUCUUUCCUUUUCCCUCUCUAGCUUCCACUUGUGAGAGAAAACAUAUGACUCUUGACCUUCCGAGUCUGACUUAUUUCACUUAACAUAAUGGUCUCUAGUUCCAUCCAUUUUCCUCCAGAUGACAUAAUUUCAUUUUUCUUUAUGGCUGAAUAAAACUCCGUUGUGUAUACAUACCACGUUUUCUAUAUUAACUCAUCCAUUGAUGGACACCUAGGCUGGUUCCAGAGUUUGAUGAUUGUGAAUUGUGCCUCUAUAAACAUGGAUGAAGUAUGAUGAGCAGGAUAAGAACUGAGGGAUACAUGCAUACCUGGGUUUAUAGCAGAGAUAGUGCAGAGUGGCUCAAACUCCAUCUGUGACACCAAUUGCCAUGAUUUAAACCCCAUCUCUGUCCCUACCAGCUGUGUGGCCUUGAUAAGUUACACAUUCUCAAGGAGUCCCUUUUUCCCAUCUUUAAAAUGUCCUUGCUUGGGGCUGGGGUUGUGGCUCAGCUGUAGAGCUCUCGCCUCGCACGUGCGAGACCCUGGGUUCCAUCCUCAGCACCACAUAAGAAUAAAUAAGUGAAAUAAAGGUAUUGUUAAAAAAAAAUGCCCUUUCUUCAUAGCCUUGUUGAGAAGGUUAAUUAACAUGGUGCAUGGAGAGAAAUUAAUGCAGUGCAGGGUACUCAGUAACUGCCCAGUAAUUUUUUUUCUAUCUUUUGUAUUUAUUAUUAAAUAGAAAUAGAUAAAUGACACAGUGGAAUAAAGCCAAUGUGAAAAAUUUUAUUUAAAUGUGUGGAGCAUGACGAUCCAUGCAGCCUGUACGGCUAACUAAAAAAUCAAGCCAGUUCAAGGCCACAUAAUGUCCUGAGACCUACCCUCUUGGCAGAGACAGUGGACUGAAAACUUAGAACUUGAGUGGACAAAUGUGGACAAGAGGCCCUGCCAGUGGGAAUGCUGCAUUCUCCCUUCUAGCCUGUUGGUUGAAAUCAUGGCCUCCUUCUUUGCUUCCCAGUAAAUAUGAAGUGCUAAUCAAUUUAUUGUUGGCAUGUGUCUCCCAUGUUUGAGAAUCUCUCAGCGCAUUUCAAAUAUAGUCUCAUGAACAUACAUAAAAGUCUCCAUCAAAAGUCAUUUCGCUAAACAUAUUUAUCUUUUCUAUUUGUAGGUACAAAGAAGUGACACUGUAUUUACUAUAAAAUGGGAAUGUACAGCUGGGCUGGGCAACACAGGCCUCCCAGGAGCUUGGGUGGCUGAAGCAGGAGGACCACAAGUUCAAAGCCAGCCUCAGCAACUUAUCAAGGCCCCAAGAAUUUAAUGAGAACCUGUCUCAACAUAAAAAAUAAAAAGAAUGUGUCUCGGGGGCUAAGUGCCCCUGGGUUCAAUUCUUGGUAGCAAAUAAUAAUAAUAAUAAUCAUCAUCAUCAUCAUCAUCAUCAUCAUCAUCAUCAUCAUAAUAAUAAAAACAACAACAACAACAAUAAUAAGACAUGGGAAAGAUUUUGUUGGUUUUUCAGAGAUUUAUAAAGGGAAAGACCUGUUGUCAUUCCCGCCACCCCCCACCCCCCUUUUCAUCUAAAUGCCAACAGGCAGACAUAACUCUUGUCUUUUUCUCUUGCAUUUUGGUCACCUCUAUCCCUUUCCCACCUGGCUGCGCUGGAGAACAGAAGCCUCUCUGGAAAGGAGGGAAGCCCUUCCCUGCUGGCUACUGUUAUUAUGAAGCACUGAGUCUCCCUCCUCCUACCCCUCAACAGAGGUACAAUAAAUGGGGAAAUGGUCUCUUCAGGCGUUUGAUCCCUUUGGCAGAAAGAAUGAAUUGGGAAUAAAGUAUUCAAUAUGGAAAUAUAUGGCUGCCCCUUCAAGGACAUGCCUCAUAGCUGACGUGGAGGGCUCAGGAUCAUUCUAUUAGAAGACAUUGGUGGAUUUUGUAUCUAUUAUCCCUGAAUAUAGAAACACUUUGUGAUGAAGACUUCAAGUUGUAGAGCGACACUUCCUGGAUUCCACUUCCUGCUCUGCCACUGCCUUUCUUUUUUAAAAAAAUAGUAAAAAUAGUAGUAUGCAUGUUUUAUUUUAUUACUAUAUAUAUAUAUAUUACUAUAUAUAUAUAUAUAUAUAUAUAUAUAUAUAUAUAUAUAUUUUUUUUUUUUUAGAAAGUUCUGGGUGAAUGCCAGAAAGCCUCUCCCAUUGCCUUUUUGUGUGAGUUUGGUCAAGAUGCUUAAUAACAUCAGCCAGUGGGAACAACAACCCUGCUCCCACUCAAGAGAUGUGGCCAUAGGAGAAGCACUAAACCCAAGAUUGUGCUCCACUGGCGCCUCGUUCCUGUUAAACAGGGGAUAGGUGCUUGCUGAGAGGAAUAAGUGAUGUCUUUCAGGGACAAAUUAAGUCCCCUUCCAUGCGGACUUCCUUGAACACUUCACCCUCAUUUGACCCUUAGCUUUAAUCCAACGUGUGUCUUUUUAUGCACAGGUCUUUCUUUCCAACUGCAUUAUGGAUCCUUUAGUUUCUUUCUUCUUUCGUUAAUCUCAGGACUCCCCUGCAUAGCCUAGGACAGCACCUAUAUCUGUAAGCUUUGGCUGUGUAACAAACCAGUUUAAAACUCAGUGAAUGAUGAUGGGUAAAUGGCGGGAAGCUCAGUUAAGAAGAGAACAGAGGGUGGGGAAGGGGUCGGCAAGGAGAGAUCCUGGGGGCUGAAUUAGAGCAAGAUAUAUCCCAUGCUUAUGUAAUUAUG